RNAcentral lists this ribosomal RNA (253 nucleotides) under uncultured bacterium. Its description in RNAcentral is "partial 16S ribosomal RNA". It matches the Rfam family "Bacterial small subunit ribosomal RNA", at positions 524 to 776 of the family's 1533-position model. The record is from RNAcentral.
UACAGAGGUCUCGAGCGUUGUUCGGAUUUACUGGGCGUAAAGGGAGCGUAGGCGGUUCGGUGUGUUGAAUGUGAAAUCCCACAACUCAACUGUGGAAUGGCAUUCAAAACUACCGGGCUAGAGCACUGGAGAGGAGAGCGGAAUUCUUGGUGUAGCGGUGAAAUGCGUAGAUAUCAAGAGGAACACCGGUGGCGAAGGCGGCUCUCUGGACAGAUACUGACGCUGAGGCUCUAAAGUUAGGGGAGCAAACAGG